GGCGGCGUAGCUCAGUCGGACAGAGCGCAUCGUCUCGACAUGCUGGUGGUUGGCACUUCCAGUAUGGACGAUGAGGCCGCGGGUUCAAGUCCCGCCGCCGCCU
This 103-nucleotide transfer RNA is filed under the name Allobosea rubneri. RNAcentral's name for it is "Bosea rubneri tRNA-OTHER". It matches the Rfam family "tRNA". From Rfam's summary of the family: Transfer RNA (tRNA) molecules are approximately 80 nucleotides in length. Their secondary structure includes four short double-helical elements and three loops (D, anti-codon, and T loops). Lineage: Bacteria; Pseudomonadati; Pseudomonadota; Alphaproteobacteria; Hyphomicrobiales; Alloboseaceae. The record is from RNAcentral.